GACGAACGCUGGCGGCGUGCCUAACACAUGCAAGUCGAGCGGAGUUAGUUUGUAGCUUGCUACAAACUAACUUAGCGGCGGACGGGUGAGUAACGCGUGGAUAACCUGCCUUUUACAGGGGGAUAACACAGGGAAACUUGUGCUAAUACCGCAUAACAUAUAGAAGUGGCAUCACUUUUAUAUCAAAGGAGCAACUCGGUAGAAGAUGGAUCCGCGUCCGAUUAGCUAGUUGGCGGGGUAAAGGCCCACCAAGGCGACGAUCGGUAGCCGAACCGAGAGGUAGGUGGGCCACAUUAGGCAUGAGGCACGGGUGAGACUCCUACGGGAGGCAGCAGCGGUGAAUAAGGAGCAAUGAGGGAAAACCUGACGCAGCAACGCCGCGUGAAGUAUGAAGGCGUUCGAGUUGUAAACGUCUUUAGUCGGGGACGAAUGGAUGACGGUACCCGAAGAAUAAGCCACGGUUAACUACGUGCCAGCAGCCGCGGUAA
Molecule: ribosomal RNA, 488 nt
Filed under: uncultured bacterium
Lineage: Bacteria
Description: partial 16S ribosomal RNA
Rfam family: Bacterial small subunit ribosomal RNA
Source: RNAcentral